RNAcentral lists this unclassified non-coding RNA (254 nucleotides) under uncultured Acidimicrobiia bacterium. Its description in RNAcentral is "contains 16S-23S intergenic spacer region". It matches the Rfam family "Bacterial small subunit ribosomal RNA", at positions 524 to 776 of the family's 1533-position model. Lineage: Bacteria; Bacillati; Actinomycetota; Acidimicrobiia. The record is from RNAcentral.
UACGUAGGGGGCGAGCGUUGUCCGGAAUUAUUGAGCGUAAAGGGCUCCUAAGUUGUUCAGUAAGUCGACUGUGAAAAUCCAAGGCUCAACCUUGGGACGCCAGUCGAUACUGCUGUGACUCGAGUUCGGUAGAGGAGUGUGGAAUUUCUGGUGUAGCGGUGAAAUGCGCAGAUAUCAGGAGGAACACCAACGGCGAAGGCAGCACUCUGGGCCGAUACUGACGCUGAGGAGCGAAAGCAUGGGGAGCGAACAGG